UAACACAUAGUUUAAUUAAGAAUGGAUGUUUUGGGGAUAUUUGGUUUGUUUUACAAUGUGUUAA
This 64-nucleotide transfer RNA is filed under the name Eudiplozoon sp. DZ-2018. RNAcentral describes it as "tRNA-Pro". Lineage: Eukaryota; Metazoa; Platyhelminthes; Monogenea; Mazocraeidea; Diplozoidae. The record is from RNAcentral.